UACGAAGGGGGCUAGCGUUGCUCGGAAUCACUGGGCGUAAAGCGUGCGCAGGCGGUUUUGUAAGUCAGAUGUGAAAUCCCCGGGCUUAACCUGGGAACUGCGUUUGAAACUACAAGGCUAGAGUGUGGCAGAGGGGGGUGGAAUUCCGCGUGUAGCAGUGAAAUGCGUAGAGAUGUGGAGGAACACCGAUGGCGAAGGCAGCCCCCUGGGUUAACACUGACGCUCAGGCACGAAAGCGUGGGGAGCAAACAGG
RNAcentral lists this ribosomal RNA (253 nucleotides) under uncultured bacterium. Its description in RNAcentral is "partial 16S ribosomal RNA". It matches the Rfam family "Bacterial small subunit ribosomal RNA", at positions 524 to 776 of the family's 1533-position model. The record is from RNAcentral.